UGACUCUUCGGAGUAAUGUGCUUGCUCUAUCGCUUUUUCUACUCUCCACUGUGCACCUAUUGUAGGCUGUGAAUAACCUUUCAGUCCUUCCUUGAAGGAACUGGAUAAGAGGGCUUGCUUUCUUGGCUUGACCUCACCUUCAUAGCCUAUGUAUUACACACUCUUUAAAGAAGUCUUUGAAUGUGAUCUUGUUGGUCUUGAAUGGACCGAUAAAACGUUAUAUACAACUUUCAGCAACGGAUCUCUUGGCUCUCGCAUCGAUGAAGAACGCAGCGAAAUGCGAUAAGUAAUGUGAAUUGCAGAAUUCAGUGAAUCAUCGAAUCUUUGAACGCACCUUGCACUCCUUGGUAUUCCGAGGAGUAUGCCUGUUUGAGUGUCAUUAACUUCUCAAACCUUCGAGUCUCUUAUAUGUAGGCUUUUGUAAGGCUUUGGAUGUGAGGAUUUGCCGGUNCUUGUAUGAGGAUCGGCUUCCUUGAAAUAUAUUAGUGGGUUACAUGAUCCCCUUUCAUUUGGUGUGAUAGUUAUCUACGCCUUUGAAAUGAUCACUUUGGUAUCUGCUUCUAACCACCCCAAGUCUUGUUCUUUUAAUCGGGAACGACUCUUGAUUUUUUAUGUUUGACCUCAAAUCAGGUAGGACUACCCGCUGAACUUAAGCAUAUCA
This 661-nucleotide ribosomal RNA is filed under the name Clitocybula familia. RNAcentral describes it as "eukaryotic LSU rRNA". The stretch from base 226 to 379 matches the Rfam family "5.8S ribosomal RNA". The record is from RNAcentral. Lineage: Eukaryota; Fungi; Basidiomycota; Agaricomycetes; Agaricales; Porotheleaceae.